Molecule: ribosomal RNA, 744 nt
Filed under: uncultured bacterium
Lineage: Bacteria
Description: bacterial SSU rRNA
Rfam family: Bacterial small subunit ribosomal RNA
Source: RNAcentral
AGAGUUUGAUCCUGGCUCAGAGCGAACGCUGGCGGCAGGCCUAACACAUGCAAGUCGAACGAACUCUUCGGAGUUAGUGGCGGACGGGUGAGUAACACGUGGGAACGUGCCUUUAGGUUCGGAAUAGCUCCUGGAAACGGGUGGUAAUGCCGAAUGUGCCCUUCGGGGGAAAGAUUUAUCGCCUUUAGAGCGGCCCGCGUCUGAUUAGCUAGUUGGUGGGGUAAUGGCCCACCAAGGCUACGAUCAGUAGCUGGUCUGAGAGGAUGACCAGCCACAUUGGGACUGAGACACGGCCCAAACUCCUACGGGAGGCAGCAGUGGGGAAUCUUGCGCAAUGGGCGAAAGCCUGACGCAGCCAUGCCGCGUGUAUGAUGAAGGUCUUAGGAUUGUAAAAUACUUUCACCGGUGAAGAUAAUGACUGUAGCCGGAGAAGAAGCCCCGGCUAACUUCGUGCCAGCAGCCGCGGUAAUACGAAGGGGGCUAGCGUUGCUCGGAAUUACUGGGCGUAAAGGGAGCGUAGGCGGACAUUUAAGUCAGAGGUGAAAUCCCGGAGCUUAACUUCGGAACUGCCUUUGAUACUGGGUGUCUUGAGUGUGAGAGAGGUAUGUGGAACUCCGAGUGUAGAGGUGAAAUUCGUAGAUAUUCGGCGGAACACCAGUGGCGAAGGCGACUCACUGGCCCGAUACUGACGCUGAGGCGCGAAAGCGUGGGGAGCAAACAGGAUUAGAUACCCCGGUAGUCCAA